AACAGAUGGGGAGCUUGCUCCCUGAUGUUAGCGGCGGACGGGUGAGUAACACGUGGGUAACCUGCCUGUAAGACUGGGAUAACUCCGGGAAACCGGGGCUAAUACCGGAUGCUUGAUUGAACCGCAUGGUUCAAUUAUAAAAGGUGGCUUUUAGCUACCACUUACAGAUGGACCCGCGGCGCAUUAGCUAGUUGGUGAGGUAACGGCUCACCAAGGCAACGAUGCGUAGCCGACCUGAGAGGGUGAUCGGCCACACUGGGACUGAGACACGGCCCAGACUCCUACGGGAGGCAGCAGUAGGGAAUCUUCCGCAAUGGACGAAAGUCUGACGGAGCAACGCCGCGUGAGUGAUGAAGGUUUUCGGAUCGUAAAACUCUGUUGUUAGGGAAGAACAAGUACCGUUCGAAUAGGGCGGUACCUUGACGGUACCUAACCAGAAAGCCACGGCUAACUACGUGCCAGCAGCCGCGGUAAUACGUAGGUGGCAAGCGUUGUCCGGAAUUAUUGGGCGUAAAGCGCGCGCAGGCGGUUUCUUAAGUCUGAUGUGAAAGCCCCCGGCUCAACCGGGGAGGGUCAUUGGAAACUGGGGAACUUGAGUGCAGAAGAGGAGAGUGGAAUUCCACGUGUAGCGGUGAAAUGCGUAGAGAUGUGGAGGAACACCAGUGGCGAAGGCGACUCUCUGGUCUGUAACUGACGCUGAGGCGCGAAAGCGUGGGGAGCGAACAGGAUUAGAUACU
RNAcentral lists this ribosomal RNA (737 nucleotides) under Bacillus licheniformis. Its description in RNAcentral is "bacterial SSU rRNA". It matches the Rfam family "Bacterial small subunit ribosomal RNA", at positions 68 to 786 of the family's 1533-position model. Lineage: Bacteria; Bacillati; Bacillota; Bacilli; Caryophanales; Bacillaceae. The record is from RNAcentral.